This 2187-nucleotide long non-coding RNA is filed under the name Solanum lycopersicum (tomato). Its description in RNAcentral is "long non-coding RNA (SLYC_LNC000883)". The record is from RNAcentral. Lineage: Eukaryota; Viridiplantae; Streptophyta; Magnoliopsida; Solanales; Solanaceae.
UAGAGAAAUUAAGGAUUGUAUUAAUUGUAUUGAUGUAUUAAUGAAAAACAAUGUUAAGUACAUACUCCUUAUAUAGGAGGAGAAUUGUAGAAUCAUAAUUAACUAUACUUCGAGUCCUACUACAAUACCUAUUAUUACUAUAAUAAUAAUAAUAAUAAUGCAAUUAUAAAUAAUCUAAAUCCUAGUUGUACUAUAAUUCUGAUAGUAAUCUAAUCCUAGUCGUAAUAUAAUUCUAAUCCUAAUAUAAGUAGUCUAAUCUUAGUGCGACUCUAACUCUACAGUAGUGUUGUAAAUUCGUCAGUCAGAUUUGUUGGACAUGUUCCAAUCAUCAGCUUCCUUUCUUCAUCAACACUUGCUGCAGAAACAUCAGUCAGAUGCAUUGGACAUGUUCCUUUGAUAUGUUCUAAUCGUCAACUUCCUUCUUUUUCAACACUUCCCUUCAAGCUAGUGAGUAGAUGAACGGUUACUCCUAGCUUGUUUGCUUUGAAUAUCCAGCACAAAAAAAACUUUGAAUACCCAGCAAAACUUGUUUUGUCAAUGCUUCGAUAUAUUGAUGAUGUUGUUUUUGAAUAUCCAGCAAAAAAAACUUUGAAUAUCCAACAAAAACUUGUUCUGUCAAUGGUUUGGUAUGUUAUUGUUGUUGUUUCCUCUUCCCCAGCCUUUUUGGGCAGAUACUACCAUGUAAUGGUUUUGUUGUGAUACUUUUUCUUCCUCUUCCCUUAUAUCAAAGCCUGUAAGAGCAUUAACAAAUUAAUUAAGGGUGGGAUAUGGUGACUUACCUACACCUCUAGCAAAAUUAAUCGCUUUUGUUACUUGAAGAUAAGUUUCUUCCAAGCAUUCCCACAUCUCCUUGGCAGUUGAGCAUCAGUUAAGGUGCUUGAGAUUCAACUUCUUAAAAACACAUCUUUCUCUUUCCAAUCAUCAAUAGUGUCACUAUCUUUUACAUCCUUCUUAGCAGCUACAACUUUCCAAUAGUUUGUACAGUGGAACAACAACUUUUACUUGGUUCACUCUCUGUGAUAUGAAUCAAUUGGGAUAUAUGUGUCCUCUUUAUGAGGUAGUAAGUUUAGUGGAGCAAGCGACAAUUAUUUGGUGAAGUGAGGAGGUUGACAUGGUUUUGGUAGAAGGGGUCAUUGCAACAUGUGAUUUUUUUUAAUCAAUACUCUGAGAACGGAAAGCUUUUAAGCUCUGAUACCAUGUAGAAAUAUCACAUUUAGGAUUAGAGAAAUCAAGGAAUAUAUUGAUUGUAUUGAGGAAAAAUAAUGUUAAGUACAUACUCCUUAUAUAGGAGAGAAUUGUAGAGUCAUAAGUUAACAGUACUUAGGUUCCUACUAAAAUACCUAUUAUUACUAUAAUAAUAAUAAAUCUAAACUCUAGUUGUACUAUAAUUCUGAUAGUAAUUUAAUCCUAGUCGUAAUAUAAUUCUAAUCCUAAUAUAAGUAGUCUAAUUCUAGUGCAACUUUAACUCUACAACAGUGUUAUAAACUCGUCAGUCAGCUUCGUUGGACCUGUUUUUUUGAUAUGUUCCAAUCGUCAACAUCCUUUCUUCAUCAACAACUAAACUUCUUCAUCAACAACUAAACUUCCUUCUGCUUCAAUAGGAGCAUCUCCAGCCUAAAAUAGAAUAUCAUUAACCCUUUUCAUAUUUAUUUUUUCUUAUGUAUCUCUAUUUAUUUAUUAUUUUUGGAUCAUGAGGAUUUCUAACAUUAUAUUAGAAUUUUAAAAAAGAACUUCUUUUUCAUAUUUAUAAAUUUUGUUUUCGAAAUAGUUUCAAGAUUUAUAAUCUAUCAACAAAGCUUUUGGGAAGCUUAAAGUUUGCUUUUAAAUUGUUUAAUUUAGAAAGUUGAGAUAAGCCCAACGGAAUUCAUAAAAAUCUCACUCAAUUUAACCCAAGAACAACAUUCAUUCGCAAAAUCCUGAUUAUAACAAUCCAAUAUGACACCAUUGAUUAAAAAAAAUGAAGUAAAAUCUUAAGAAUUCAUCAAGAACCUAUACAAAUUAUUUCAUGGAUGAUUUACGGAAAGAAAUACAUAUUUGGUGUGAAGAUGAACAUAUCCAUCAAUAUGAGAAACCUCACAUACCUUGAAAGAACCACGUUGUUGACAAUUUCCCCAAAAACCUUGAAGAACUUCUUGACCCCUUUUCCUUUUGAGCUUUCCCUAACUUGCUUAAACAUUUUUUUUUGAG